GGGCACAGGGCGAGGUCACGUAAGAGCAUGAUGGCACCUCUGGGGGGCCCUGAGGAACGUUGUGUGCUGGGUGACCUUCCUGUAAGCAGGGCUCAGGUCUUUGCUACUGUUGGUUUUGGCCUUUGGCCGUCUUGCUCCUUUGGCUGCCCGGAGAGCGUGGCAACCCUGUAAGGAGGGUGAGAGCCAGCGUUUCCGCACCCUAGGGGGAAAUAGAGCUCUCUUGGACCCCCAGGCCACCCUGUAAGCAGGGGAGGGCCAUUUCCCUGCCCCUCUCCUCUGCCCCAGCAGCUCUCUGCCUGCUGGUGGCCUACCCAGCCUGACCCCCUGUUGUCAGGGCGUGUCACAGCAUUUGGCCUUUGGCCUGUUGAAGCUCUCUGGCUUCCAUGCAGCCCUGGGCAUGGUCUGAGGCUCUCCUCUCUUGCUUGGUGAGUAGGGUGACUCCCCGGACAGUGGCUGCACAGAGACCGUCUCCCUUUUUGGGACGUUUUGUUUUGUGUUUGUCUUGUCCUUGUCUAUCAAUGUGAGGGAGUGAGUGAGCUUGUCCUUUAGGCGCCUGUUAAAAUUGCUGCAGCUUAGCUUAAGCCUCCCUGGAAGGAGAGCAGGUCUCUGUGCAGUAACAGGGGGGUCUUCCCUAAGUCCACGAGCGGAGGGAUGGUCUGGACUCGCCCCUUCUUUCCAAAGACGGCGCCAAGCCACUUAGUCGUGGUGCAGGCAAUGCGACCUGCCUGUAGUCAGGAUCUGGGUCUCUGCCUGCAUGGCUGCCUGUGCUGCUGGUGACCUGGCAGUGUGACCCCCUGUUGUCAGGGCGUGUCACAGUAUUUUCCCCUUUGUGCCUGGAAGCCGGAGAGCUUCAAUACGCCGUCACCCUAAUGAGAACAAACCAGACCUUGUCAAGCCCCAGUCCCUUCCCUCUGUACCACUGACCUGGAGCCUAGUGAGAAUGCACGUACAGUUUAGAGUGAGCUACUGCGUGGGGCAUGGAAGGGCUAAAGGCAUGAAGUGGUAAGGCAUGAAGUGGUAAUGGAAGGGCUAAAGGCAUGAAGUGGUAAUGGAAGGGCUAAAGGCAUGAAGCAGAUUUGGGAUUGGAGCACUGUGUUUCCAGCUUUGACAUCAGUUUUCUGUUUUACUUCAGUGCAACUAUUUUAGUAAUUUUUUUUUUUAUUAAUUCCUGUCCUUCACCUCCUGGGGAGUUUACUUACUGGAUGCACUUCCUGGCCUUGUGUUUGACGCAGCAAAAGAAGAUGUGGCACUGCGGACGAGCAUACCGAGGAAGCUGCUUCUGCAGGUGGAUGUAGCUGACUCAAGGGGAAAGCUGAGCAACCUUGGAUACUGAGCUCUAAUUGCCUUGGCAGAGAUCAUUUUCUGCACGAAAACAU
Molecule: long non-coding RNA, 1376 nt
Organism: Melopsittacus undulatus (budgerigar)
Lineage: Eukaryota; Metazoa; Chordata; Aves; Psittaciformes; Psittaculidae
Exons: 3
Source: RefSeq, a predicted model, not a curated record